Molecule: long non-coding RNA, 3165 nt
Filed under: Cucumis sativus (cucumber)
Lineage: Eukaryota; Viridiplantae; Streptophyta; Magnoliopsida; Cucurbitales; Cucurbitaceae
Description: long non-coding RNA (CSAT_LNC002934)
Source: RNAcentral
UUUUUUUUCCCCUUUGUUAGAUUACAAGUUCAGUCUUGUACCAAAACUUUCUGUCUAAUAAAUUUUCUAACUCUAAAUUCCAUACACAAUUUCAUUUUGUGUUGCUGCCGAGCAUGACCUGGCAAAGAGGAAGGCUCUGGAAAGAAGGGGCGAUAUGGGCGUAAACAACCAGCAAGUAAAAGGAAGAAGUCACAAAAUUCUAAAAUUUCAGUUUUAUAUCUAUGAAGCUUAAAUGAGUUGUUGUACACUCAAUGAAGUAGAAAGAAAAGAAAAUGAGCUAUGGUCGUCAACUUAAAAAUAUUUACGAAUAAUGAAUUAUAUUAGUAAUAUAAGUUAAAUGAAGGAUAAAAUUUAUAUUAAAUUUGGUUAGGUUGGCAAGUCUUUUUAAAGUAAUAGCUCUAAAAAACUGCUAUAGAUUACAAUUUACUUUUUAAUAAAGGAAAACACAUUGAACAUAGUAAAAUCACACCCAAAAGCAUGAUAAUAUAGAUAGGCCAUAAUUAAUAUGAAAAGAUUUCUGGUUUUUCCCAAGUGUCACACCAAUGGCUGUUUCCAUGGCAUAAAUAAAAUGCCUAUAAUUAAUUUUCUCAAAGUGCCAAUGCCAAACACUUUUAUAUAUUGGUAUUGCCAAACCCAUCAACCCAUCAACCCAUCAACCCAUCAACCCAUCAACAUUCUUCUUCUUCUUCUUCUUCUUCUUCUUCUUCUUCUUCACCAAAUAUAUACCCUUUUUUUUCCAUUAUUUGAUAAUCAUCACCUUCAAAUUUCCAACUUUGGUUUUUCUCUUUCUUUUAUUGUGAGUUAGCCAAUUAAAAUGAAGAUCUCAGUCAAAUUCCCAUUUUUCAACUUCCACUAAUUUCACUAUAUAAUUGUUGGCAUCAAGAAGGCAAUUUUCUUAACAGCACCACAGUAUGUAAUCUUCUUCAAUCUCAGCUCUACAAGGACAGAUUAUAAAGCUUCUUCCUUUUCUUCUUCUUCUUCUUCUUCUUCCCGUUUUGAGGGAUUUUUUUUCUUCUUCUCAAAAUGGGUGUUUUUGUUUCUCUCUGUUUAAAGCUCAAUUUUGGUGUGUGUGUGUUUGGCAAAAAAGCCUAAUUAGAAUUUGGCUGAUUUGUGAAACAACAUGUAGACAAAGGAAUUUAUCAUUAUGGUCAGGCACACAGGGCAAAGCCAGGCACUUAAAACGCUGCGUUUCAGUCAAAAGAAAGAAAAGAAAAGAAAAGAAAAGAAAAAGGUGAAGUUUGUUUUACAAAUUAAUUAGCUAUUUAACUGAAAAUUAUGAGAAUAAAUGAGGAUUGGAUCAAUUCCUGUAGUUUUGCUUCUCUUUCUCUUUUGUGUUGUUAUUUAGUAUCCAAAAAUGGCAGAAGCUUUUAUGAGUCAUUAUAAGUCUAUAAACAGCUUAUAAAACAAAAGCUUACACCAUAUAUAUAUAUAUUAUAUAUUACGGCCUGUACUGCAGAUUCUAAAGACUAGCUAGAGCUAGAUUCUGUUUUUCUUUUCUUUUCUUUUCUUUUUGGGUAUUAUUGUAAUGUUAUUGGGUGUGUGAUUCAGUAAAAACACAGCUGCAUCACGAGUGUAAUUUUUUUUAAACUUUAUAUGAACAAUUCAGUAACUUUAUACGUCUAUAUCUUCAGUAUCUUCUAUAUUUUGCAUUUGUUCAUCAAACUAUCAAGGUAAAAUACUACAUUCUUUUUCCUUCCAUGUUGUGUUUCAGAAAUGAUUCUUAUAUAUUCCACUUCUCCCAGUUCAACCAUUUGAAUGUUUCCAUUAUUCAUUUUCAACUUCAUAUAUGAACAAUAAUCUAAGAUAUCAGCAAUAUCUUUUAAGAACAGAUCGACAAGUAUCUUUGUUUUUGUUAUCAACUUAUAUUAUAUAACAGAAAAGUAUCUAUCUGUGAACAUUAUAAAAACAAAAACAAAUAAAAUAUAUGGGGUUUGAGAAAUGAUUCUCUCUCUCUCUCUCUAUAUAUAUAUAUAUAUAUUUCCCUCCUGUUAAAUUGCUUGAUAUAUAUUUUGAGUAGAAGUGUAAUGUUAGAAGACUAUAAAACUCAUAAACUAAUUAAGACAUCCUUUUAGAUUACAUGACAGCUGAAAUUAGGAUUAGUGCAAGUAAAAAGGAAACUAUUGUCUGAUAUACAUGAGUGAAAAUAAAGUAGUAUUUAUUCAUGGAACUUGACAUAUUAAAUCAGGUUCCUUCCAUAGAAUCAUAUCAAAGAAUUGAAAAGAGAUAAAAGAAUCUUCAUUGAACAGUACGGAACAGCUAGAGGAGAGAGUGGUGGUGGGAGCUAAUGCACGUCCUUCAAACCCACUUACGAGUUCAAGAAUAGAAGAGCAUUUUUAAUGUUGCGCAUACAUUUCCAAUCAAAACCAUUUAUUCACUCCUGUUUCAUCAAACAGAUCAGUUUUCAUCUUUUGAUUUCUUAACGAUUUUUUUUAACACAAAAUCUAAUGUUAAUUAGUCCAACGAUACAUAGAAUUUAGUUUCAAUUCGAGCAUAUAACUUAGUAUAUAAGGCACUAACCACCAUAUCUUAAAAGUUAAAAGGUUUGAUUAUUAUUCUAUCUCUAUUAUCGAUAAAGGAAUCAAUACAUAAAAACCAGAGAAACAAAGUGUUGUUUGGAGAAGUAGACUUCUGGCACUCUUCAAAAGGCCAUAAGCAUUUAUGGCAAAAUCAUUAAAGAAAUUUUAUGGGCAUAGAGUGGGAAUCAAACCAUAAAAAGGAAGCUAAAAAAAACAACUUUCUUUUACCAUUGAUUUUGACAAAAAGUUAUGAAAUGUGUGUGAUAAAAAAAUCCUUUGUCUUGACUAUUAUACAACAUGUGAUCUCAGGCAAUGAAAAUAAGAGAUAUGAUGACUUGAUCUUGCCUUUAAGUUAUCCUUUUCUAACUUAUAAUCAUAUUUCAUCUGUUAAAGUGUAUUUUUUUCAACAAUGACAACUAAUUAAACACGAUAUUCGACUUUUGUUAUGGAAUUUAACCUAACAAUUAAACCCCUUACGGCAUGGUAUGUCUUACACACUACCAAAACAUCAUUGACAUGAAUCCUUCUAAAAACAAGUGUUUCAUAUACAGUUGGCACGUAAUUCAAGGCAUUUAAAAGAAACUUUACUUUACUCGGUUUGGUACAUAAUCUUUGUAUGAUACUCUACUCUAAAGCUUAUAUGGGUACU